UAGGAGGACCUCACUUUUGGUAUUCUAGUAUUUAUCAAGCUUUAGAUCUUGAUGAAGAAGAAAUGGCUACACUAUCUGAUGCGCAAGCAUCAAUUAAAAUAAAUGCUCAAACUGUUUAUAAUGCUUAUAAACAGGCGUUAGAGCAUGCUAGGCCAAAUAGUCCAACCCCAACUUCGUCCACAUCACAGGCGUCUAAAAGAGCUGC
Molecule: long non-coding RNA, 205 nt
Filed under: Nicotiana benthamiana
Lineage: Eukaryota; Viridiplantae; Streptophyta; Magnoliopsida; Solanales; Solanaceae
Description: long non-coding RNA (NBEN_LNC027650)
Source: RNAcentral